RNAcentral lists this ribosomal RNA (613 nucleotides) under Lycus sp. UPOL MK0556. Its description in RNAcentral is "partial 16S large subunit ribosomal RNA". It matches the Rfam family "Bacterial large subunit ribosomal RNA", at positions 1804 to 2714 of the family's 2925-position model. The record is from RNAcentral. Lineage: Eukaryota; Metazoa; Arthropoda; Insecta; Coleoptera; Lycidae.
UUAACAAAAACAUGUCCUUUUGAAAAUAAUUUAAGGUCUAAUCUGCUCAAUGAUGAUUAAAUUGCCGCAGUAUUUUGACUGUGCAAAGGUAGCAUAAUAAUUAGCUUCUUAAUUAGAAGCUGGAAUGAAUGAUUGGACGAGAAAAUUACUGUCUCUAUUUAAUUGUUUAUUGAAUUUUAUUUCUAAGUCAAAAAGCUUAGAUUUUUGUAAAAGACGAGAAGACCCUAUAGAGUUUGAUAUUUUAAUUUCAUUUGAUUUAAGAAUUUUUUUUUGAAUUUUAAGUAUUUAGUUGGGGUGAUUUAAAGAUUUAAAUAAUUCUUUAAUUUUUUUAUUGAUGAUAAUUAAAUUGUAAAUCUAUAUUUUUAAAUUUAAUAUAAAUUACCUUAGGGAUAACAGCGUAAUUUUUCUUUAAAGCUCUUAUUAAAAGAAGAUUUUGCGACCUCGAUGUUGGAUUAAAAUUAAUUUUUGGUGCAGUAACUUAAAAAUUGGGUCUGUUCGACCUUUAAAAUUUUACAUGAUCUGAGUUUAAACCGGUGUAAGCCAGGUUGGAUUCUAUCUUUAAAUUUUUUAUAUAUUUUAGUACGAAAGGACCAAGUAUAUAUUAUAUUAAUUG